RNAcentral lists this ribosomal RNA (439 nucleotides) under uncultured bacterium. RNAcentral's name for it is "bacterial SSU rRNA". It matches the Rfam family "Bacterial small subunit ribosomal RNA", at positions 954 to 1392 of the family's 1533-position model. The record is from RNAcentral.
AUGGGAACGCGAAGAACCUUACCUACUCUUGACAUCCAGAGAACUUUCCAGAGAUGGAUUGGUGCCUUCGGGAACUCUGAGACAGGUGCUGCAUGGCUGUCGUCAGCUCGUGUUGUGAAAUGUUGGGUUAAGUCCCGCAACGAGCGCAACCCUUAUCCUUUGUUGCCAGCGGUUCGGCCGGGAACUCAAAGGAGACUGCCAGUGAUAAACUGGAGGAAGGUGGGGAUGACGUCAAGUCAUCAUGGCCCUUACGAGUAGGGCUACACACGUGCUACAAUGGCGCAUACAAAGAGAAGCGACCUCGCGAGAGCAAGCGGACCUCAUAAAGUGCGUCGUAGUCCGGAUUGGAGUCUGCAACUCGACUCCAUGAAGUCGGAAUCGCUAGUAAUCGUAGAUCAGAAUGCUACGGUGAAUACGUUCCCGGGUCUUGUACACACCG